Molecule: ribosomal RNA, 254 nt
Filed under: uncultured bacterium
Lineage: Bacteria
Description: partial 16S ribosomal RNA
Rfam family: Bacterial small subunit ribosomal RNA
Source: RNAcentral
UACGGGGGGAGCAAGCGUUGUUCGGAUUUACUGGGCGUAAAGGGCGCGUAGGCGGCCACCGCAAGUCGGUUGUGAAAUCUCUGGGCUUAACCCAGAAAGGUCAACCGAUACUGCGGGGCUAGAGUGCAGAAGGGGCAACUGGAAUUCUCGGUGUAGCGGUGAAAUGCGUAGAUAUCAGGAGGAACACCGGUGGCGAAGGCGGUUCUCUGGGCCUUACCUGACGCUGAGGAGCGAAAGCGUGGGGAGCGAACAGG